Molecule: ribosomal RNA, 421 nt
Filed under: uncultured Cloacibacterium sp.
Lineage: Bacteria; Pseudomonadati; Bacteroidota; Flavobacteriia; Flavobacteriales; Weeksellaceae
Description: bacterial SSU rRNA
Rfam family: Bacterial small subunit ribosomal RNA
Source: RNAcentral
GAGGAAUAUUGGUCAAUGGGUGCAAGCCUGAACCAGCCAUCCCGCGUGAAGGACGACUGCCCUAUGGGUUGUAAACUUCUUUUGUAUAGGGAUAAACCUACCCUCGUGAGGGUAGCUGAAGGUACUAUACGAAUAAGCACCGGCUAACUCCGUGCCAGCAGCCGCGGUAAUACGGAGGGUGCAAGCGUUAUCCGGAUUUAUUGGGUUUAAAGGGUCCGUAGGCGGACUUAUAAGUCAGUGGUGAAAGCCUGUCGCUUAACGAUAGAACUGCCAUUGAUACUGUAAGUCUUGAGUAUAUUUGAGGUAGCUGGAAUAAGUAGUGUAGCGGUGAAAUGCAUAGAUAUUACUUAGAACACCAAUUGCGAAGGCGACCUGCUGGAACAUUACUGACGCUGAGGUGCGAAAGCGUGGGGAGCAAACA